This 1277-nucleotide long non-coding RNA is filed under the name Gallus gallus (chicken). Its description in RNAcentral is "lncRNA (ENSGALG00010018739.1)". Lineage: Eukaryota; Metazoa; Chordata; Aves; Galliformes; Phasianidae. The record is from RNAcentral.
AACAGCACCCAGAAGCAGGGUUGGGAAGUGCUAUGGAUGAGCCUGCUGUUUACUCAUCAUCUGAUGCUAUGCGUUGUCCUCCCAAGCUACCAGGAGAGCCUCUUAAUGGUGUGCCAGUGAGUAAGAGGCUUUCUGAUGCUGGAUGGAAGAAGGGAAAAUAUCACUGAAAACAUGAGGGUCAGAGAAUCAUCUGCCUCCGAUGGAUGCACCAUGAAGAUAAAGGGAGAUGUCUUUGUCAACAAAUCAGUCUGCCAAAGAGCAAAUGCAAUAGAAGCAGUGAUUUCCGAGCACUGGAAGCAAUGCUUGGGCUUUGAUAACAGUGAAAGAAGGAUUCCGGAGCAGAUCCUCACCUGGGCUGUCAGUGCCAGGGCUAUGAUUUUUUGGGGGGCAGCUACACUGACUGACUGACUGUGCUGCUUGCCCUGCACAGUGCAGCAGGGAGAAACUGAGGUUUAUGGCAGCUUCUGUAGGGUGAAGAGAAAAAGGAAGGGCAAAUCACCCUGGAGGGAGCAGCAGUGAGUGGGAUCAAAGGAGAAGUGGCACUGUGACCCAUAAGCACGAUGGAACCCAACCCUGGGUAUCAGCCACUGCGGAGUGGGGUUACCUGGUGCUGGGACAUCAUGGAUGGGUGCAGAUUUAUUGUGGCUGCGUUUGCCUCAAGAGCUGAAUCCACAGCCUCACGCAGGUGCAAACCAAGAAGCGGAGAACAGGCAGGAAGGUUUGGUACUGACCCAGCCCCGGGUCCCAGCUCCUGUGUGGGUUUUGCAGCCAUUUCUUGCCUCAUAGGAUCUGGGAGGACAGAUCUCCAUGCGUGGUGAGUCCUGGGGGCUCUGCCUGCUCCCCCCACCCCUUGCUGCAGGGCUGCAUUCACAUCAGCUGUCCCCUCGUGUCUCAGUUUCCCUGUCAUGCUACAGGGAUCCACGCUCCCUCCUUGAGCACCUGUGCUGGGGGAUGCCUGCCCCAUCCACUUGCAGAAGAAAAGCAAAGAGACUUCAUGGCUCUUCCUCCCAGCUCCUCUUAGAGCCUAAACCGGAGGUAGCAGAGCACCAGCGAGCAGAGAGAGGCUCAGGAGCUGGAGCAGGGCAGCCUCUAGUGGCUGCAAGCCAGGAAACGUCGGCCCCAGAAACGCACAGAGCAAAGAGGAUGCCAGAUGUGGGGUUGGCCUGCUCCCUGCCAACGUGGUGAUUCACCCUGGGCAAAAGCCAGGGGUGGCUGCUGCCCUCCCCUAUAGCACCCAGCAGGGACAGGAAUGCCAGCAGCUCGUGCACUUCUUGGCA